RNAcentral lists this ribosomal RNA (450 nucleotides) under uncultured bacterium. Its description in RNAcentral is "bacterial SSU rRNA". It matches the Rfam family "Bacterial small subunit ribosomal RNA", at positions 354 to 796 of the family's 1533-position model. The record is from RNAcentral.
GUGGGGAAUUUUGGACAAUGGGCGCAAGCCUGAUCCAGCAAUGCCGCGUGCAGGAAGAAGGCCUUCGGGUUGUAAACUGCUUUUGUACGGAACGAAACGGUCCUGGCUAAUAUCCGGGGCUAAUGACGGUACCGUAAGAAUAAGCACCGGCUAACUACGUGCCAGCAGCCGCGGUAAUACGUAGGGUGCGAGCGUUAAUCGGAAUUACUGGGCGUAAAGCGUGCGAAGGCGGUGCUGUAAGACAGGCGUGAAAUCCCCGGGCUCAACCUGGGAAUUGCGCUUGUGACUGCAGUGCUGGAGUGCGGCAGAGGGGGAUGGAAUUCCGCGUGUAGCAGUGAAAUGCGUAGAUAUGCGGAGGAACACCGAUGGCGAAGGCAAUCCCCUGGGCCUGCACUGACGCUCAUGCACGAAAGCGUGGGGAGCAAACAGGAUUAGAUACCCGGGUAGUCC